UGAGCUCGAUGAGUAGGGCGGGACACGUGGUAUCCUGUCUGAAUAUGGGGGGACCAUCCUCCAAGGCUAAAUACUCCUGACUGACCGAUAGUGAACCAGUACCGUGAGGGAAAGGCGAAAAGAACCCCGGCGAGGGGAGUGAAAAAGAACCUGAAACCGUGUACGUACAAGCAGUGGGAGCCUCUUUAUGGGGUGACUGCGUACCUUUUGUAUAAUGGGUCAGCGACUUAUAUUCUGUAGCAAGGUUAACCGAAUAGGGGAGCCGAAGGGAAACCGAGUCUUAACUGGGCGUUAAGUUGCAGGGUAUAGACCCGAAACCCGGUGAUCUAGCCAUGGGCAGGUUGAAGGUUGGGUAACACUAACUGGAGGACCGAACCGACUAAUGUUGAAAAAUUAGCGGAUGACUUGUGGCUGGGGGUGAAAGGCCAAUCAAACCGGGAGAUAGCUGGUUCUCCCCGAAAGCUAUUUAGGUAGCGCCUCGUGAAUUCAUCUCCGGGGGUAGAGCACUGUUUCGGCAAGGGGGUCAUCCCGACUUACCAACCCGAUGCAAACUGCGAAUACCGGAGAAUGUUAUCACGGGAGACACACGGCGGGUGCUAACGUCCGUCGUGAAGAGGGAAACAACCCAGACCGCCAGCUAAGGUCCCAAAGUCAUGGUUAAGUGGGAAACGAUGUGGGAAGGCCCAGACAGCCAGGAUGUUGGCUUAGAAGCAGCCAUCAUUUAAAGAAAGCGUAAUAGCUCACUGGUCGAGUCGGCCUGCGCGGAAGAUGUAACGGGGCUAAACCAUGCACCGAAGCUGCGGCAGCGACGCUUAUGCGUUGUUGGGUAGGGGAGCGUUCUGUAAGCCUGCGAAGGUGUGCUGUGAGGCAUGCUGGAGGUAUCAGAAGUGCGAAUGCUGACAUAAGUAACGAUAAAGCGGGUGAAAAGCCCGCUCGCCGGAAGACCAAGGGUUCCUGUCCAACGUUAAUCGGGGCAGGGUGAGUCGACCCCUAAGGCGAGGCCGAAAGGCGUAGUCGAUGGGAAACAGGUUAAUAUUCCUGUACUUGGUGUUACUGCGAAGGGGGGACGGAGAAGGCUAUGUUGGCCGGGCGACGGUUGUCCCGGUUUAAGCGUGUAGGCUGGUUUUCCAGGCAAAUCCGGAAAAUCAAGGCUGAGGCGUGAUGACGAGGCACUACGGUGCUGAAGCAACAAAUGCCCUGCUUCCAGGAAAAGCCUCUAAGCAUCAGGUAACAUCAAAUCGUACCCCAAACCGACACAGGUGGUCAGGUAGAGAAUACCAAGGCGCUUGAGAGAACUCGGGUGAAGGAACUAGGCAAAAUGGUGCCGUAACUUCGGGAGAAGGCACGCUGAUAUGUAGGUGAAACGACUUGCUCGUGGAGCUGAAAUCAGUCGAAGAUACCAGCUGGCUGCAACUGUUUAUUAAAAACACAGCACUGUGCAAACACGAAAGUGGACGUAUACGGUGUGACGCCUGCCCGGUGCCGGAAGGUUAAUUGAUGGGGUCAGCGCAAGCGAAGCUCUUGAUCGAAGCCCCGGUAAACGGCGGCCGUAACUAUAACGGUCCUAAGGUAGCGAAAUUCCUUGUCGGGUAAGUUCCGACCUGCACGAAUGGCGUAAUGAUGGCCAGGCUGUCUCCACCCGAGACUCAGUGAAAUUGAACUCGCUGUGAAGAUGCAGUGUACCCGCGGCAAGACGGAAAGACCCCGUGAACCUUUACUAUAGCUUGACACUGAACAUUGAGCCUUGAUGUGUAGGAUAGGUGGGAGGCUUUGAAGUGUGGACGCCAGUCUGCAUGGAGCCGACCUUGAAAUACCACCCUUUAAUGUUUGAUGUUCUAACGUUGACCCGUGAUCCGGGUUGCGGACAGUGUCUGGUGGGUAGUUUGACUGGGGCGGUCUCCUCCUAAAGAGUAACGGAGGAGCACGAAGGUUGGCUAAUCCUGGUCGGACAUCAGGAGGUUAGUGCAAUGGCAUAAGCCAGCUUGACUGCGAGCGUGACGGCGCGAGCAGGUGCGAAAGCAGGUCAUAGUGAUCCGGUGGUUCUGAAUGGAAGGGCCAUCGCUCAACGGAUAAAAGGUACUCCGGGGAUAACAGGCUGAUACCGCCCAAGAGUUCAUAUCGACGGCGGUGUUUGGCACCUCGAUGUCGGCUCAUCACAUCCUGGGGCUGAAGUAGGUCCCAAGGGUAUGGCUGUUCGCCAUUUAAAGUGGUACGCGAGCUGGGUUUAGAACGUCGUGAGACAGUUCGGUCCCUAUCUGCCGUGGGCGCUGGAGAACUGAGGGGGGCUGCUCCUAGUACGAGAGGACCGGAGUGGACGCAUCACUGGUGUUCGGGUUGUCAUGCCAAUGGCACUGCCCGGUAGCUAAAUGCGGAAGAGAUAAGUGCUGAAAGCAUCUAAGCACGAAACUUGCCCCGAGAUGAGUUCUCCCUGACUCCUUGAGAGUCCUGAAGGAACGUUGAAGACGACGACGUUGAUAGGCCGGGUGUGUAAGCGCAGCGAUGCGUUGAGCUAACCGGUACUAAUGAACCGUGAGGCUUAACCUU
This 2544-nucleotide ribosomal RNA is filed under the name Escherichia coli KTE146. RNAcentral describes it as "bacterial LSU rRNA". It matches the Rfam family "Bacterial large subunit ribosomal RNA", at positions 400 to 2925 of the family's 2925-position model. The record is from RNAcentral. Lineage: Bacteria; Pseudomonadati; Pseudomonadota; Gammaproteobacteria; Enterobacterales; Enterobacteriaceae.